UACGGAGGGGGUUAGCGUUGUUCGGAAUUACUGGGCGUAAAGCGUCCGCAGGCGGAUAUUUAAGUUAGAGGUGAAAUCCCGGGGCUCAACCCCGGAACUGCCUUUAAAACUGGGUAUCUAGAGUCAUGGAGAGGUAAGUGGAAUUCCUAGUGUAGAGGUGAAAUUCGUAGAUAUUAGGAGGAACACCAGAGGCGAAGGCGGCUUACUGGACAUGAACUGACGCUGAGGGACGAAAGUGUGGGUAGCAAACGGG
RNAcentral lists this ribosomal RNA (253 nucleotides) under uncultured bacterium. Its description in RNAcentral is "partial 16S ribosomal RNA". It matches the Rfam family "Bacterial small subunit ribosomal RNA", at positions 524 to 776 of the family's 1533-position model. The record is from RNAcentral.